GGCGGUUAUAUAAGACAGAUGUGAAAUCCCCGGGCUCAACCUGGGAACUGCAUCCAAAACUGGCGAGCUAGAGUAUGGUAGAGGGUGGUGGAAUUUCCUGUGUAGCGGUGAAAUGCGUAGAUAUAGGAAGGAACACCAGUGGCGAAGGCGACUUACUGGUCUGUGAUUGACGCUGAGGCUCGAAAGCGUGGGUAGCAAACAGGAUUAGAUACCCUGGUAGUCCACGCCGUAAACGAUGAGUGCUAGGUGUUGGGGGGUUUCCGCCCCUCAGUGCCGGAGUUAACGUAUUAAGCACUCCGCCUGGGGAGUACGACCGCAAGGUUGAAACUCAAAGGAAUUGACGGGGG
RNAcentral lists this ribosomal RNA (347 nucleotides) under Schizochytrium aggregatum. RNAcentral's name for it is "partial Bacterial small subunit ribosomal RNA". It matches the Rfam family "Bacterial small subunit ribosomal RNA", at positions 574 to 919 of the family's 1533-position model. Lineage: Eukaryota; Bigyra; Thraustochytrida; Thraustochytriidae. The record is from RNAcentral.